This 496-nucleotide ribosomal RNA is filed under the name uncultured bacterium. RNAcentral's name for it is "bacterial SSU rRNA". It matches the Rfam family "Bacterial small subunit ribosomal RNA", at positions 30 to 524 of the family's 1533-position model. The record is from RNAcentral.
AUUGAACGCUGGCGGAAUGCUUUACACAUGCAAGUCGAACGGUAGAGGGGGCAACCCCUUGAGAGUGGCGAACGGGUGAGUAAUAUAUCGGAACGUGCCCAGUCGUGGGGAUAACGUAGCGAAAGUUACGCUAAUACCGCAUACGAUCUAAGGAUGAAAGCGGGGGAUCGCAAGACCUCGCGCGAUUGGAGCGGCCGAUAUCAGAUUAGGUAGUUGGUGAGGUAAAGGCUCACCAAGCCAACGAUCUGUAGCUGGUCUGAGAGGACGACCAGCCACACUGGAACUGAGACACGGUCCAGACUCCUACGGGAGGCAGCAGUGGGGAAUUUUGGACAAUGGACGCAAGUCUGAUCCAGCCAUUCCGCGUGCAGGAUGAAGGCCCUCGGGUUGUAAACUGCUUUUGUACGGAACGAAAAGGUUUCUAUUAGUACUAGGAGCUCAUGACGGUACCGUAAGAAUAAGCACCGGCUAACUACGUGCCAGCAGCCGCGGUAAA